ACGGGAGGCAGCAGUGGGGAAUAUUGCACAAUGGGCGCAAGCCUGAUGCAGCAACGCCGCGUGAGGGAAGACGGUUUUCGGAUUGUAAACCUCUGUUCUUAGUGACGAAGAAGUGACGGUAGCUAAGGAGCAAGCCACGGCUAACUACGUGCCAGCAGCCGCGGUAAUACGUAGGUGGCAAGCGUUAUCCGGAAUUACUGGGUGUAAAGGGAGCGCAGGCGGGAUAGCAAGUCAGCGGUGAAAUGUAUGGGCUUAACCCAUGAACUGCCGUUGAAACUGUUAUUCUUGAGUGGGGUAGAGGCAGGCGGAAUUCCGAGUGUAGCGGUGAAAUGCGUAGAUAUUCGGAGGAACACCAGUGGCGAAGGCGGCCUGCUGGGCUCUAACUGACGCUGAGGCUCGAAAGUGUGGGGAGCAAACAGGAUUAGAUACCCUGGUA
Molecule: ribosomal RNA, 436 nt
Filed under: uncultured Clostridium sp.
Lineage: Bacteria; Bacillati; Bacillota; Clostridia; Eubacteriales; Clostridiaceae
Description: partial 16S ribosomal RNA
Rfam family: Bacterial small subunit ribosomal RNA
Source: RNAcentral